GAGGCGGCAACAAGCCGGAGACGAGAGCUCGUCGAGUCGUCGUCGACGAGCUAAGCUAUCAUCAGCAUCAGCAACGGCCGAUUGCUGAGGUGGACCGCGCCGGGCUGUGGAUUACGGGGCAGUUCGUCUUUGGCACAAAGGCGCGAGAGGAUUCAGAAGUUCGGUUCGCUUCAGCUAGCAGCACGCGUGCCAAAGGAGAAUUGCCCUGCGAUCCGCCCUGCGCAGGAUCCGAUUGCCUGCAGAUGCCGUUUCCCUUGACCUACAUGGCUGCAUGCAUGUGUGAGAGAGAUCCGAGUGGCACCUGCAAUCCUGCUGCAUGUGCAGAAUCGCCCCGAGAUUCAGCUUCAGAUUCAGUACGUUACUGCUGUGUGCAAGUGUGUUGCCUAUGGUGCUGACCUGCGUGCGUGUGGGAUCGAUCUGCUUCUUCCUAGUCUGCUGACUUCGACUCGGAUGCAUUCAGAUGACGAUGGUGUAGGCGUGUAGUAGGUGUAGGUGCCCGGCCCGUUGCAGCAUCUAUGAUCUGUGUUAUUCUGUACGGCAUCUGAUCCACAUAAAUACUA
Panicum virgatum (switchgrass) is the source of this 560-nucleotide long non-coding RNA. RefSeq lists it as uncharacterized. The record is from RefSeq and is a predicted model, not a curated record. Lineage: Eukaryota; Viridiplantae; Streptophyta; Magnoliopsida; Poales; Poaceae. The transcript is spliced from 2 exons.